AGCGCCAUUACACCCCCCAAGCACAGCUUGAUGUUGGGCGCUGCCUCCGCGGCACGCCCCGAACACGCAGGCGCCCUCACCGGCCCUCGAGCGUCUCACGGAUGAUAUCCCCUCGCUCGGGCGGUCCGGUGGCGGUCGCCUUGGCCCACCGAUUUAUCACGUUUGGCCUCGGAUCAGGCGGGGAUACCCGCUGAACUUAA
This 200-nucleotide unclassified non-coding RNA is filed under the name soil metagenome. Its description in RNAcentral is "partial contains internal transcribed spacer 2 and large subunit ribosomal RNA". The record is from RNAcentral.